CGAUUACGGCUCAGUAACACGUCGAUAAUCUGCCCUAUGGUCUGGAAUAGCCUUGGGAAACUGAGGGUAAUACCGGAUAUGGGAAAAAGUCUGGGAUGACUUUUCCUUGAAAGACUACGCCAUAGGAUGAGUCGGCGGUGGAUUAGGUAGUUGGUGGGGUAAUGGCCCACCAAGCCGAAGAUCCAUAGGGGCCUUGAGAGAGGGAGCCCCGAGAAGGACACUGAAACACUGGUCCUAGCCCUACGGGGUGCAGCAAGCGCGGAACCUCUACAAUGCACGAAACUGUGAUAGGGGAAUCCUAAGUGCUUAUGCAAUGCAUAAGCUUUUGCCAAGGGUAAAAACCUUGGAGAAUAAGUGGUGGGAAAGACUGGUGCCAGCAGCCGCGGUAACCCCAGCGCCACAAGUGGCUUUCACCAUUAUUGGGCCUAAAGCGUCCGUAGCCGGUCUGGUAAAUCUUAUGUGAAAUCGUACGGCUUAACGCGAACGGUGUGCAGAAGAGACUGCUGAACUAGGGACCGGGAGGGAGUUAGAGGUGUGUCGGGGGGAGCGCUUAGCUUGCUUAUCCCUUCCUC
This 572-nucleotide ribosomal RNA is filed under the name uncultured euryarchaeote. RNAcentral's name for it is "bacterial SSU rRNA". It matches the Rfam family "Archaeal small subunit ribosomal RNA", at positions 80 to 650 of the family's 1478-position model. The record is from RNAcentral. Lineage: Archaea; Methanobacteriati; Methanobacteriota.